GACGAACGCUGGCGGCGUGCUUAACACAUGCAAGUCGAACGGAAAGGCCCUGCUUUUGUGGGGUGCUCGAGUGGCGAACGGGUGAGUAACACGUGAGUAACCUGCCCUUGACUUUGGGAUAACUUCAGGAAACUGGGGCUAAUACCGGAUAGGAGCUCCUGCUGCAUGGUGGGGGUUGGAAAGUUUCGGCGGUUGGGGAUGGACUCGCGGCUUAUCAGCUUGUUGGUGGGGUAGUGGCUUACCAAGGCUUUGACGGGUAGCCGGCCUGAGAGGGUGACCGGCCACAUUGGGACGGAGAUACGGCCAAGACUCCUACGGGAGGAAGCAGUGGGGAAUAUUGCACAAUGGGCGGAAGCCUGAUGCAGCAACGCCGCGUGCGGGAUGACGGCCUUCGGGGUGUAAACCGCUUUCGCCUGUGACGAAGCGUGAGUGACGGUAAGGGGUAAAGAAGCACCGGCUAACUACG
This 466-nucleotide ribosomal RNA is filed under the name uncultured bacterium. RNAcentral's name for it is "partial 16S ribosomal RNA". It matches the Rfam family "Bacterial small subunit ribosomal RNA", at positions 28 to 505 of the family's 1533-position model. The record is from RNAcentral.